ACUUCUAAUAUGAUUGUGGACAAGGCGUCUGACUUCUAAUCAGGUGAUUGUGGGUUCGAGUCCCACUGGGUGUG
This 74-nucleotide transfer RNA is filed under the name Theobroma cacao (cacao). It matches the Rfam family "tRNA", at positions 14 to 71 of the family's 71-position model. Rfam says of the family: Transfer RNA (tRNA) molecules are approximately 80 nucleotides in length. Their secondary structure includes four short double-helical elements and three loops (D, anti-codon, and T loops). Lineage: Eukaryota; Viridiplantae; Streptophyta; Magnoliopsida; Malvales; Malvaceae. The record is from Rfam by way of RNAcentral.